Molecule: ribosomal RNA, 373 nt
Filed under: uncultured organism
Description: bacterial SSU rRNA
Rfam family: Bacterial small subunit ribosomal RNA
Source: RNAcentral
CGGGGGGGGCAAGCGUUGUUCGGAAUUACUGGGCGUAAAGGGUUCGUAGGUGGCUUGCUAAGUCAGACGUGAAAUCCCUCAGCUUAACUGGGGAACUGCGUCUGAGACUGGUGAGCUCGAGUGCAGGAGAGGAACGCAGAAUUCCAGGUGUAGCGGUGAAAUGCGUAGAUAUCUGGAGGAAUACCGGUGGCGAAGGCGGCGUUCUGGACUGCAACUGACACUGAGUGAACGAAAGCCAGGGGAGCAAACGGGAUUAGAUACCCCGGUAGUCCUGGCCCUAAACGAUGAAUGCUUGGUGUGGCGGGUAUCGAUCCCUGCCGUGCCGGAGUUAACGCGUUAAGCAUUCCGCCUGGGGAGUACGGUCGCAAGGCUG